AGCAGCCGCGGUAAUUCCAGCUCCAAUAGCGUAUAUUAAAGUUGUUGCAGUUAAAAGCUCGUAGUUGAAUUUCGAGAUCAAAUUGUUGGUCGUGCCUUGGUACGCACUGGCAUUAUUGGUUUCUCCCUUCUGACGAACCAUGAUGUCAUUAAUUUGGUGUCUUGGGGAAUCAGGACUGUUACUUUGAAAAAUUGAGUGUUUAAAGCAGGCUCACGCUUGAAUACAUUAGCAUGGAAUAAUGAAAUAGGACGUUUGAUUCUAUUUUGUUGGUUUCUAGGAUCGACGUAAUGAUUAAUAGGGAUAGUUGGGGGCAUUAGUAUUCAAUUGUCAGAGGUGAAAUUCUUGGAUUUAUUGAAGACUAACUACUGCGAAAGCAUUUGCCAAGGAUGUUUUCAUUAAUCAAGAACGAAAGUUAGGGGAUCGAAGACGAUCAGAUACCGUCGUAGUCUUAACCAUAAACUAUGCCGACUAGGGAUCGGAU
This 481-nucleotide unclassified non-coding RNA is filed under the name uncultured Glomus. Its description in RNAcentral is "SSU rRNA". It matches the Rfam family "Eukaryotic small subunit ribosomal RNA", at positions 569 to 1058 of the family's 1831-position model. The record is from RNAcentral. Lineage: Eukaryota; Fungi; Glomeromycota; Glomeromycetes; Glomerales; Glomeraceae.